RNAcentral lists this microRNA (22 nucleotides) under Ornithorhynchus anatinus (platypus). RNAcentral describes it as "Oan-Mir-192-P2_5p (mature (guide))". Lineage: Eukaryota; Metazoa; Chordata; Mammalia; Monotremata; Ornithorhynchidae. The record is from RNAcentral. RNAcentral also lists the same sequence under 10 other names.
AUGACCUAUGAAUUGACAGACA